This 417-nucleotide long non-coding RNA is filed under the name Brassica napus (rape). RNAcentral's name for it is "long non-coding RNA (BNAP_LNC020619)". The record is from RNAcentral. Lineage: Eukaryota; Viridiplantae; Streptophyta; Magnoliopsida; Brassicales; Brassicaceae.
ACGGUAAAAACAAUAUAUGUAGCUGAGAUUAUGGAUUUGCAGGUGGUUGUGGUGGCUAUGGUGAUGAUGGCUCAGUGAUGAAUGUGAACAUGAAUGAGAUGAUGGUGAUUAUGAAAAAGGGAUAAUGAUUAUAGAAAAGAAGCAGUGUCUAAGGAGACGAUAAAUACAAAACGCAUUGUGGAUGUGAUGAUCAUAUUGUAACGGUGACGGACGGAAAAGUGAUGGAGAUGGAAGAAGAGCAUUGGUAGUUGGUAAAUCGAAGAAGAAUAAGGUAGUGAUUUUUCAUUAACCAGAUAUUAUAGGUGAUAUCGUACAUAUUACAAAAAUAAUAAAAAUGUUUUUUUGGUUAGAUAUUGAAUUAUGCUUUGUUUUGUAGCUGUCCAAAAGAUAUUGCUAGAAAAAACAGCCAAAAAACAU